This is an unclassified non-coding RNA of Ursus americanus (American black bear), 327 nucleotides long. Its record names the gene 7SK. It matches the Rfam family "7SK RNA". From Rfam's summary of the family: 7SK was discovered as an abundant small nuclear RNA in the mid-70s but a possible function has only recently been suggested. Two independent studies have found that 7SK RNA binds the CDK9/cyclin T complex (known as elongation factor P-TEFb). P-TEFb activates transcription by phosphorylating the C-terminal domain of RNA polymerase II. The record is from Ensembl. Lineage: Eukaryota; Metazoa; Chordata; Mammalia; Carnivora; Ursidae.
GGAUGUGAGGGCAAUCCGACUGCAACAUCUGUCUUCCCAGUGAUCGAGAAGGUUGAUGGGGCUGACGUGGCUGGCUAGGUGAGAGUCUCUUUCUCCCUCAUCACUCCAUGUGCGUCCCUCCCAAAGCUGUGCAUGUGUCAGAAAGGACGACCUUCCCUGACAGAGGAUGACUGUUCUUCGGUCAAGGGUACAGGAGUAGCUGUGCUCCCCUGCCAACCUCCGAACAAGCCCUCGAGGUUCAUUUGUAGGAGAAUGUAGGCUAGUCAAGCUUCCAAGACUCCACACACAUCCCAAGGAGGUGCUGCAUGUGGCAGUCUGCUUUCUUUU